GGGUUGUGAGGUUAAGCGACUAAGCGUACACGGUGGAUGCCCUGGCAGUCAGAGGCGAUGAAGGACGUGCUAAUCUGCGAUAAGCGUCGGUAAGGUGAUAUGAACCGUUAUAACCGGCGAUUUCCGAAUGGGGAAACCCAGUGUGAUUCGUCACACUAUCGUUAACUGAAUACAUAGGUUAACGAAGCGAACCGGGGGAACUGAAACAUCUAAGUACCCCGAGGAAAAGAAA
Molecule: ribosomal RNA, 232 nt
Filed under: Salmonella enterica subsp. enterica serovar Kentucky
Lineage: Bacteria; Pseudomonadati; Pseudomonadota; Gammaproteobacteria; Enterobacterales; Enterobacteriaceae
Description: partial 23S ribosomal RNA
Rfam family: Bacterial large subunit ribosomal RNA
Source: RNAcentral